GCCUGCAUGAGAUAGCUCAGGUGGUAGAGCAUGAGACUCUUAAUCUCAAGGUUGUGGGUUCGAGCUCCACGUUGGGUG
Molecule: transfer RNA, 78 nt
Filed under: Podarcis lilfordi (Lilford's wall lizard)
Lineage: Eukaryota; Metazoa; Chordata; Lepidosauria; Squamata; Lacertidae
Description: tRNA.Lys
Rfam family: tRNA (bases 13-70)
About the family: Transfer RNA (tRNA) molecules are approximately 80 nucleotides in length. Their secondary structure includes four short double-helical elements and three loops (D, anti-codon, and T loops).
Source: RNAcentral